GAUGAACGCUGGCGGCGUGCCUAAUACAUGCAAGUCGAGCGAACAGACCAGGAGCUUGCUCCUCUGACGUUAGCGGCGGAAGGGUGAGUAACAUGUGGAUAACCUACCUAUAAGACUGGGAUAACUCCGGGAAACCGGAGCUAAUACCGGAUAAUAUAUUGAACCGCAUGGUUCAAUAGAGAAAGACGGUUUUGCUGUCACUUAUAGAUGGAUCCGCGCCGCAUUAGCUAGUUGGUAAGGUAACGGCUUACCAAGGCAACGAUGCGUAGCCGACCUGAGAGGGUGAUCGGCCACACUGGAACUGAGACACGGUCCAGACUCCUACGGGAGGCAGCAGUAGGGAAUCUUCCGCAAUGGGCGAAAGCCUGACGGAGCAACGCCGCGUGAGUGAUGAAGGUCUUCGGGUCGUAAAACUCUGUUAUUAGGGAAGAACAAGUGUGUAAGUAGCUAUGCACGUCUUGACGGUACCUAAUCAAAAAGCCACGGCUAACUACGUG
Molecule: ribosomal RNA, 497 nt
Filed under: uncultured bacterium
Lineage: Bacteria
Description: partial 16S ribosomal RNA
Rfam family: Bacterial small subunit ribosomal RNA
Source: RNAcentral